GGUUAAGCGACUAAGCGUACACGGUGGAUGCCCUGGCAGUCAGAGGCGAUGAAGGGCGUGCUAAUCUGCGAUAAGCGCCGGUAAGGUGAUAUGAACCGUUAUAACCGGCGAUACCCGAAUGGGGAAACCCAGUGUGAUUCGUCACACUAUCAUUAACUGAAUCCAUAGGUUAAUGAGGCGAACCGGGGGAACUGAAACAUCUAAGUACCCCGAGGAAAAGAAAUCAACCGAGAUUCCCCCAGUAGCGGCGAGCGAACGGGGAGGAGCCCAGAGCCUGAAUCAGCAUGUGUGUUAGUGGAAGCGUCUGGAAAGGCGCGCGAUACAGGGUGACAGCCCCGUACACAAAAGCGCAUGUGCUGUGAGCUCGAUGAGUAGGGCGGGACACGUGGUAUCCUGUCUGAAUAUGGGGGGACCAUCCUCCAAGGCUAAAUACUCCUGACUGACCGAUAGUGAACCAGUACCGUGAGGGAAAGGCGAAAAGAACCCCGGCGAGGGGAGUGAAAAAGAACCUGAAACCGUGUACGUACAAGCAGUGGGAGCACCCUUCGGGGUGUGACUG
RNAcentral lists this ribosomal RNA (559 nucleotides) under Salmonella enterica subsp. enterica serovar Adjame. Its description in RNAcentral is "partial 23S ribosomal RNA". It matches the Rfam family "Bacterial large subunit ribosomal RNA", at positions 1 to 599 of the family's 2925-position model. Lineage: Bacteria; Pseudomonadati; Pseudomonadota; Gammaproteobacteria; Enterobacterales; Enterobacteriaceae. The record is from RNAcentral.